GCCGGCACAGUGGUGCGUGCCUGUAGUCCCAGCUACGUGGGAGGCUGAGGUGGGAGGAUCGCUUGAGCCCAGGAGUUCUGGGCUGUAGGGCACUAUGCCGAUUGGGUGUCCACACUAAGUUCAGCAUCAAUACGGUGACCUCACGGGAGCAGGGGACCACCAGGUUGACUAAGGAGGGGUGAACUGGCCCAGGUCAGAAACGGAGCAGGUCAAAACUCCCGUGCUGAUCAGUAGUGCGAUGGCACCUGUGAAUAGCCACUGCACUCUAAAAAAAAAAAAGAAU
Molecule: unclassified non-coding RNA, 283 nt
Organism: Callithrix jacchus (white-tufted-ear marmoset)
Lineage: Eukaryota; Metazoa; Chordata; Mammalia; Primates; Cebidae
Rfam family: Metazoan signal recognition particle RNA
About the family: The signal recognition particle (SRP) is a universally conserved ribonucleoprotein. It is involved in the co-translational targeting of proteins to membranes. The eukaryotic SRP consists of a 300-nucleotide 7S RNA and six proteins: SRPs 72, 68, 54, 19, 14, and 9.
Source: Ensembl